AUGACCGGCGUAGGGAUUACUAAGGAGACUAAAGAAACUAGAACAACAACGACUAAUUCAUUCGCCAAUAUAUUCCCGUAAACUCGAAAACUAAGCGAUAAUGGAUUUCUGAAAUCUUCUAGUAUGUUAAUUGGUAAAAGGAUUGGAGUUUAUUUAAUAUAUUUCUUGAAAUAG
RNAcentral lists this ribosomal RNA (174 nucleotides) under Triticum aestivum (bread wheat). Its description in RNAcentral is "partial small subunit ribosomal RNA". The record is from RNAcentral. Lineage: Eukaryota; Viridiplantae; Streptophyta; Magnoliopsida; Poales; Poaceae.